This 457-nucleotide ribosomal RNA is filed under the name Catonella morbi. RNAcentral describes it as "bacterial SSU rRNA". It matches the Rfam family "Bacterial small subunit ribosomal RNA", at positions 38 to 495 of the family's 1533-position model. The record is from RNAcentral. Lineage: Bacteria; Bacillati; Bacillota; Clostridia; Lachnospirales; Lachnospiraceae.
GGCGGCGUGCCUAACACAUGCAAGUCGAACGGAGAUUACAGACGGAAGUUUUCGGAUGGAAGACUGUAAUUCUUAGUGGCGGACGGGUGAGUAACGCGUGGGCAACCUGCCCUAUACAGGGGGAUAGCAGCUGGAAACGGCUGGUAAGACCGCAUAAGUCGGUUAAAUCGCAUGAUUUGACCGGGAAAUGAGCAAUCAGGUAUAGGAUGGGCCCGCGUCCGAUUAGCCAGUUGGCAGGGUAAAAGCCUACCAAAGCAACGAUCGGUAGCCGGACUGAGAGGUCGGACGGCCACAUUGGGACUGAGACACGGCCCAAACUCCUACGGGAGGCAGCAGUGGGGGAUAUUGCACAAUGGAGGAAACUCUGAUGCAGCGACGCCGCGUGAGUGAAGAAGUAUUUCGGUAUGUAAAGCUCUAUCAGCAGGGAAGAUGAUGACGUACCUGACUAAGAGCCCCG